CUUUCGUUAGCAAAAAAGUGCAUUAAAUUUAGGAUUUAAAGAUGGAGCAUUUCCACGAAAGA
RNAcentral lists this transfer RNA (62 nucleotides) under Megaginus tataupensis. Its description in RNAcentral is "tRNA-Leu". Lineage: Eukaryota; Metazoa; Arthropoda; Insecta; Psocodea; Heptapsogasteridae. The record is from RNAcentral.